Molecule: transfer RNA, 75 nt
Filed under: Candidatus Daviesbacteria bacterium RIFCSPHIGHO2_01_FULL_40_24
Lineage: Bacteria; Candidatus Daviesiibacteriota
Also listed under: 4 other names
Description: tRNA-Thr
Rfam family: tRNA
About the family: Transfer RNA (tRNA) molecules are approximately 80 nucleotides in length. Their secondary structure includes four short double-helical elements and three loops (D, anti-codon, and T loops). Further hydrogen bonds mediate the characteristic L-shaped molecular structure. tRNAs have two regions of fundamental functional importance: the anti-codon, which is responsible for specific mRNA codon recognition, and the 3' end, to which the tRNAs corresponding amino acid is attached (by aminoacyl-tRNA synthetases). tRNAs cope with the degeneracy of the genetic code in two manners: having more than one tRNA (with a specific anti-codon) for a particular amino acid; and 'wobble' base-pairing, i.e. permitting non-standard base-pairing at the 3rd anti-codon position.
Source: RNAcentral
GCCGACUUGGCUCAGUGGUAGAGCAGCUCCAUGGUAAGGAGCAGGUCGUGGGUUCGAUUCCCACAGUCGGCUCCG